Non-coding RNA from Oncorhynchus mykiss (rainbow trout), 235 nucleotides. The record is from RefSeq and is a predicted model, not a curated record. Lineage: Eukaryota; Metazoa; Chordata; Actinopteri; Salmoniformes; Salmonidae.
GAGAGAGAGAGAGAGAAGGGCUGAUAAUCAAGACAACGACACAAAGAUGGCGACAGAUUCCACUGCGGGACGCCAACGGGAGUCCAGAUUAACAGAUCGUCCUGCGGAGUACCAGAACCGUUGUCCGUUACAACGGGACGACGAUCGGCCUGACACCGCGACACGACCACCACCGACCCCGCCACAUCAUCGCCACGCCAUGUAGCCUCCUAGAGGAGGACAGAGACCUGGAGGA